RNAcentral lists this ribosomal RNA (466 nucleotides) under uncultured bacterium. RNAcentral describes it as "partial 16S ribosomal RNA". It matches the Rfam family "Bacterial small subunit ribosomal RNA", at positions 28 to 507 of the family's 1533-position model. The record is from RNAcentral.
GACGAACGCUGGCGGCGUGCUUAACACAUGCAAGUCGAGCGGUAAGGCCCUUCGGGGGGUACACGCGCGGCGCACGGGAGUGUAACACGUGUGAAACCCGCCGCACGUCUGGGGAAAACUGCCGGACACGGUGUAUAACCCCGGAUAUGACCCUCUCACGCAGGGGGGGUGGGGAAAAGUUUUCGGGUGGUGGGGGGUGGGCUCGCGGCCUAUCUGUUGGUUGGUGGGGUGAUGGCCUACCAAGGCUCCGACGGGUAGCCGGCCUGAGAGGGUGACCGGCCACACUGGGACUGAGACACGGCCCAGACUCCUACGGGAGGCAGCAGUGGGGAAUAUUGCACAAUGGGCGAAAGCCUGAUCCAGCAACGCCGCGUGAGGGAUGACGGCCUUCGGGUUGUAAACCUCUUUCGCCUGGGACGAAGCGAAAGUGACGGUAGCAGGUAAAGAAGCACCGGCCAACUACGUG